Molecule: ribosomal RNA, 808 nt
Filed under: Actinomycetospora sp.
Lineage: Bacteria; Bacillati; Actinomycetota; Actinomycetes; Pseudonocardiales; Pseudonocardiaceae
Description: bacterial SSU rRNA
Rfam family: Bacterial small subunit ribosomal RNA
Source: RNAcentral
GCUUACCAUGCAAGUCGAGCGGUAAGGCCUUUCGGGGUACACGAGCGGCGAACGGGUGAGUAACACGUGGGUGACCUGCCCUCCACUUCGGGAUAAGCCUGGGAAACUGGGUCUAAUACCGGAUAGGACCUUCUGGUGCAUGCUGGUUGGUGGAAAGUUUUUUCGGUGGGGGAUGGGCCCGCGGUCUAUCAGCUUGUUGGUGGGGUGAUGGCCUACCAAGGCGACGACGGAUAGCCGGCCUGAGAGGGUGAUCGGCCACACUGGGACUGAGACACGGCCCAGACUCCUACGGGAGGCAGCAGUGGGGAAUCUUGCGCAAUGGGCGGAAGCCUGACGCAGCAACGCCGCGUGGGGGAUGACGGCCUUCGGGUUGUAAACCUCUUUCGCGAUCGACGAAGGCCUGUUUUCUACAGGUUGACGGUAGGUCGAGAAGAAGCACCGGCCAACUACGUGCCAGCAGCCGCGGUAAUACGUAGGGUGCGAGCGUUGUCCGGAAUUAUUGGGCGUAAAGAGCUCGUAGGCGGUGUGUCGCGUCGGCCGUGAAAACCUGGGGCUCAACUCUGGGCGUGCGGUCGAUACGGGCAUCACUUGAGUUCGGCAGGGGAGACUGGAAUUCCUGGUGUAGCGGUGAAAUGCGCAGAUAUCAGGAGGAACACCGGUGGCGAAGGCGGGUCUCUGGGCCGAUACUGACGCUGAGGAGCGAAAGCAUGGGUAGCGAACAGGAUUAGAUACCCUGGUAGUCCAUGCCGUAAACGUUGGGCGCUAAGGUGUGGGGUCCAUUCCACGGGUUCCGUGCCGCAGCUAACGC